This 1252-nucleotide long non-coding RNA is filed under the name Equus asinus (donkey). RNAcentral describes it as "lncRNA (ENSEASG00005027504.1)". The record is from RNAcentral. Lineage: Eukaryota; Metazoa; Chordata; Mammalia; Perissodactyla; Equidae.
CUAAGAUGGAAGUCUGCGUGAAGUAAAACCAGAAAAGAGAUGAGCAGUUCUGCAUGAAAUUCUGCAGAGAUGACCUUUGAACUACAGAAUGUCAGAACAGAAUAAAACUCGGUAACUUGGAAUGGAAACAGAAACAUCAGAGACUCGGAUACCCUAUGCAUACGAAGAACUCAGUGCCCGGUGUGAAGCUCCAACAGGAGUAAGUACGGCGUGCAACAAUGGCAGAGAGACGGCAUGGCUGACCCCACCGCUCGGCGAGUCCUUCUGCUAGAAUACGACUUCCCUGAUGGUGAAACUUGUCCUUAUUUAUUCUGUGACCCCUGGGCCAGCACAGGGCCUGCAACACAGUGGCCAAUCAAGACCAGUGAAUUGUGUGCUCAGGGGAGGGAAGGACAAAGAAGGGCUCCUCAAGGAGAAGACUGAGCUGGGUGUUGAAGUGAGGGGGUUCUAAGGUUAACAGGUGGAGACGGGGUUGGAAAAAAGGAGGCGGAAGAAGAGACUCUAAGCAAACGAAUUAGAAAAAGACAGAUGUGUGAACAGCCCAGGCCACUAGGGAAGCUGCAAAGAGCUCGGGAUAUGUGGAGUGUGGGGUAGGGGUAGGGAAGUGAUGGGUAUUUGACUAGAGAAACAGGAUAAAACUCAUAUCAUGGGGGACUGCACGCCAUACACGGGAGUUAGGACAUUACUGUGCACAGAUACACGUGUUAGAAAGAUGACUCUAAUGGCAGUGGAGAGGGAGGGUCAGAGCGGGAAGCAGCCUCCAUGAGAGAAGCUUGGCAGGAAGGUGUGCAAGAAGAGAGUGCAGAGAAAAGGACAGGUUCAAAAGUGUUUGUGACCAUUUUGGCAAUAUGGGAGACUAGAGAUCCUGAAAUUCUUCUGCUGGAUAGCGUCUAAAAAUACUUAACAAAAUGCAAAUACACACUUGCUCUCUCUUACUUUUUUACAUGAUUAGAUGAGCUCUAAGAAGAAAAGGGGAGGGCCAGCCUGGUGGCCUAGUGGUUAAGUUCAUGCACUCCACUUUGGCAGCUGAGGGUUCCCCACUCUGGAUCCCGGGUGUGGACCUACACACUGCUCAUUAAGCCAUGCCCUGGAGGCAUCCCACAUAGAAAAUAGGGGAAGAUUGGCACAGAUGUUAGCUCAGGGACAAUCUUCCUCAAGCAAAAAGAGGAAGAUUGGCAACAGAUGUUGGCUCAGGACGAAUCCUUCUCACCCUUGCCCACCCACACACAAAAACAUAGAAGAAGAAGGAAAG